Molecule: RNA transcript, 2163 nt
Organism: Pistacia vera
Lineage: Eukaryota; Viridiplantae; Streptophyta; Magnoliopsida; Sapindales; Anacardiaceae
Gene name: pentatricopeptide repeat-containing protein At3g04130, mitochondrial
Exons: 4
Source: RefSeq, a predicted model, not a curated record
UUGAUUGGUUCACGGUGAGCCGGCUGUGCCGACGUGGGCAUAUGAGUAACUGUAGCCACAUUAAAUUAAGGGCAUUUUGGUCCUUAUACAGUAAAUUCUCUGUUAACCAAUCCUAUUAACGACUGUUAAAUCUAGACUGACCUUGAACGGGUUAAAACCCUCUGUUCGUCUCACCAGUAUAAUCCUUUCUCCACCGACCCUCAUUCGGCGUCUCCUUCCUCCUUCCUUCUCAUUCAUCAAGGAGUGGUUGGAUUCUCUAGUUUUUUACGUUGCAACGUAUUCAUGAUCUUCCGUCUCCAAAAAUGCCUUAAAAGCACAAGGUUCCACCUAAAAUUAUCAGUAUCUUGUACCCUUUUCCAUGCUUCCCUCAGGAAUUGCUUUCAUGCAGUUUCUUCAUCUCCUUUUCAAUCACAGUUGUUUAGAGCUGGAUUAGAUCAUCAACAAGAACAAUAUGUAGACUCUACAAGACAACCUGACCUUGAUGUUAUCAUUUCUAAAGUUCGUUUGGGAAGCACUGAAGAUGAGGUCUUUCAAUCUCUCAAGCAAGAUUAUGUAUGUAAUAGUAUGCAGCUUUCUCAUCGCCUUGUUGAUAAGUUGCUUCGACGGUUCAAGGAUGAUUGGAAAUCGGCGUUGGGUGUUUUUAGAUGGGCAGGGUCAUUUCCAGGAUAUGAACAUACACCAGAGAUUUAUGAUUCGAUGGUGGACAUAUUGGGGAAAGCGAAACGAAUGGAUCAGAUGAGAGCUUUAUUGGUGGAAAUGAAUGAGAGUCGUUUUAUCACAAUUAAUACAGUGGCCAAGGUUAUGAGAAGGUUCACUGGUGCAGGGCAAUGGGAGGAUGCUGUGAAGACAUUUGAUCAGUUAGGAACUUUUGGAUUGGAGAAGAACACAGAAACCAUGAACAUGUUGCUUGACACCCUUUGUAAAGAGUCCAAGGUUGAGCAGGCCCGUGCAAUUUUCUUGGAGCUCAAAUCACACAUUUCACCCAAUGCUCAUACAUUCAACAUUUUCAUCCAUGGUUGGUGCAAAGUCAAUCGUGUCGAUGAGGCUCAUUGGACUAUUCAAGAGAUGAAGGGACAUGGUUGUCGCCCAUGUGUCAUUAGCUACUCAACCAUCAUUCAGUCUUAUUGUCACCAAUACAACUUCAGCAAGGUCUACGAGCUGCUCGAUGAAAUGCAGGCUCAAGGCUGUCCUCCAAAUGUUGUAACUUACACCACUGUCAUGUGUUCACUAACAAAGUCACAGGAGUAUGAAGAAGCUAUACAAAUAGUUGAUAGAAUGAAAAUGGUCGGUUGUAAACCUGAUACACUUUUUUACAAUUGCUUGAUCCAUACUCUGGGGCAAGCUGGUCGAGUCCAAGAUGCCGUGCAUGUUUUCCAGGUGGAGAUGCCAAAGAAUGGUGCAACCCCUAAUACCUCUACCUAUAAUACCAUGAUUGCUAUGCUUUGUCAUCAUGCUCAGGUAGAGAAUGCCUUUCAUCUUCUCCAGGAGAUGGAGAAUGUAGAAUAUUGUAAGCCUGACACUCAGACAUUUUUCCCAUUGCUCAAAUCUUGCUUUAAAACUGGGAAAACAGAUAUUUUCUUGAGCCAAUUAUUGGAUGACAUGGUUAAUAAGCAUCAUCUGAGUAUUGAUGUCUCAACCUACACACUUUUAAUUCAUGGGCUUUGUAGAGCCAACAAAUGUGAACAGGCUUACCACCUGUUUGAGGAGAUGAUCGGUCAAGAGAUAACACCUAAAUACCUAACGUGCCGUUUGUUAUUGGAUGAAGUCAAGCUGAAGAAUAUGUAUGAUGCUGCUGAGAAAAUUGAAGAUGUCAUGAAGAAAUUAUAAUCGCCCAAUUGCCCGGAUGUCUAGAAUUAUCAAGAGGUGUGAAAGCUGGCUGCUUGUGAUGGUCAUCAUUCACAGAACCACAAAUAAGCAGAAGUUUAAUUAAAGUGAGAUACUGUGUUACGUGAUCUUGUCCAUUGGAUCCAAUAAUGAGUCAAUUGAAUCAGACAUCCCGGGAUCCCAUUAUGUUUUUUAACAUAUGAAAGUGAAAAUGGACCCAAGCACUAGACCCACGGCACCUCCUCGUUUUAGUAAAACCAUGUGCUAGAUGGGGUCAGAUUUUUUAACUGAUGCAAAUUGUUAAGCAGUAAUCAAAUAGAUGUUUUCUUUUUGUAUUAU